RNAcentral lists this ribosomal RNA (301 nucleotides) under uncultured bacterium. RNAcentral describes it as "partial 16S ribosomal RNA". It matches the Rfam family "Bacterial small subunit ribosomal RNA", at positions 509 to 807 of the family's 1533-position model. The record is from RNAcentral.
CAGUAGCCGCGGGAAUACGUAGGUGGCAAGCAUUGUCCGGAAUUAUUGGGCGUAAAGGGCUCGCAGGCGGUUUCUUAAGUCUGAUGUGAAAGCCCCCGGCUCAACCGGGGAGGGUCAUUGGAAACUGGGAAACUUGAGUGCAGAAGAGGAGAGUGGAAUUCCACGUGUAGCGGUGAAAUGCGUAGAGAUGUGGAGGAACACCAGUGGCGAAGGCGACUCUCUGGUCUGUAACUGACGCUGAGGAGCGAAAGCGUGGGGAGCGAACAGGAUUAGAUACCCCCGUAGUCCCUGUCUCUUAUAC